NNNNNNNNNNNNNNNNNNNNNNNNNNNNNNNNNNNNNNNNNNNNNNNNNNNNNNNNGGCGGCGGCUCGCGGGCAGCGGCUCGCGCUUAAUAUUCCUGCCCCAUUGGGUCUGCUGAUAAAUCUCCGCUCUGACGUCAAAGUCCUCGCUCCUGCUCAUGAUGGGCUCCGGGCUGCAUCACACGCGUGUGAGCGGAAUAGCAACGAGCUCCGGCGGCCGCCCGGCCCCGCACGCGGGCACGCGCACGCGCGGGGGGGACACGACACGCGGCCCCUCCUACGCACACGUACUCCCCCUGCACACACACACAACCCCUCCUAUGCAUACAUACACACAACCCCUCCUAUGCACACAUACUCCCCCUGCACACACACACACAACCCCUGCUAUGCACACAUACUCCCCCUGCACACACACACAACCCCUCCUACGCACACAUACUCCCCCUGCACACACACAACCCCUGCUGCGCACACAUAUUCCCCCUGCGCAUACACACACAACCCCUGCUAUGCACACAUACUCCCUCUGCACACACACACAACCCCUCCUAUGCACACAUACUCCCCCUGCACACACACAACCCCUGCUGCGCACACAUACUCCCCCUGUGCACACACACACAACCCCUCCUCUGCACACAUACUCCCCCUGCGCACACACACACAACCCCUCCUACACACACAUACUCCCCCUGCACACACACACAACCCCUCCUACACACACAUACUCCCCCUGCACACACACACAACCCCUCCUAUGCACACAUACUCCCCCUGCGCGCGCACACACAACCCCUCCUAUGCACACAUAUUCCCCCUGCACACACACACAACCCCUCCUGCAUACAUGUACUCUCCCCCCACGCGCACACAUAACCCCUCCCACGGGCACAUACUCCCCCAACACACACGCACGCACGGACAUACGCGUGGAGCUCCCCCCCAGGAAUUUCAUUCAUAAGAUUUCUGAGGCGCAGGGACACCCCUCCCACGAGGUGACAGCUUUGCCACCUCCACCUUGCGGCGGGGUGGCAGCGCAGAGAUCAAGCCACAGAAAUAAAAGCGGAAGAUUUCUUUCUCCCUGCCUAAGCCGGCACACACUCGGGCUUGCUGCUGGGCUGUGGCUGUCAGCGCCCCUGUCUGCUGCACCGUAAGACCCCGGGGGCGGUGCAGUUCAGACCCUUUUCCCCCAGAGAUCAGUUCAAGGGCGAUGUGAACAAUGGAGCUGGGAGCUCAGUUAGAAAUGUGCUUUUUCUGAAAUCAGCCUCUGAGAGCAGCUGAGAAAGCAUAGGGAUGCGUGUUUGGGGGGUGUGCUUGCGUGGGGGGAGGGUCUUGCCUAGAAGAAGCAGGAAAAUCAGGGCUCACCCAGCCAUGCUUCUCUGUGCCAGGACACAUCUGAUCAACAUGCCAUUUGCUUUGUUCCAUAGGGAGCCAAAGCUGCGGUCUGGAGCUCAGCAAGCUGCAGCCUCCUCCCCUUUAAGACCAGCAGGAUUUGGGGUCUAAUAU
RNAcentral lists this long non-coding RNA (1505 nucleotides) under Crocodylus porosus (Australian saltwater crocodile). RNAcentral's name for it is "lncRNA (ENSCPRG00005007389.1)". Lineage: Eukaryota; Metazoa; Chordata; Crocodylia; Crocodylidae. The record is from RNAcentral.